CCUACGGGAGGCAGCAGCAAGGAAUUUUCGUCAAUGGGCGCAAGCCUGAACGAGCAACGCCGCGUGGAGGAUGACGGCCUUCGGGUUGUAAACUCCUUUUCCGGGGGAUGAUAGUGACCGUACCCUGGGAAUAAGGCUCGGCUAACUCUGUGCCAGCAGCCGCGGUAAGACAGAGGAGCCAAGCGUUGUCCGGAUUGACUGGGCGUAAAGCGCACGCAGGCGGUUGGGCACGUGGGGUGUGAAAGCGGCCCGCUUAACGGGCCGAGGCCAUCCCAUACGGCCCGACUUGAGCCUGGCAGAGGUUCGUGGAAUUGCCGGUGUAGUGGUGAAAUGCGUAGAGAUCGGCAGGAACACCAAGGGGAAAACCAGCGAACUGGGCCAGAGCUGACGCUCAGGUGCGAAAGCGUGGGGAGCGAACCGGAUUAGAUACCCGGGUAGUCCACGCCGUAAACGAUGAAUACUCGGCAUCUGGGGGGCGAUAUUCGUCCGCCGGUGCCCCAGCUAACGCGGUAAGUAUUCCGCCUGGGAACUACCAGCGCAGACUUAAAACUCAAAUGAAUUGACGG
RNAcentral lists this ribosomal RNA (566 nucleotides) under uncultured bacterium. RNAcentral describes it as "bacterial SSU rRNA". It matches the Rfam family "Bacterial small subunit ribosomal RNA", at positions 338 to 916 of the family's 1533-position model. The record is from RNAcentral.